This 802-nucleotide unclassified non-coding RNA is filed under the name Hevea brasiliensis (rubber tree). The record is from RNAcentral. Lineage: Eukaryota; Viridiplantae; Streptophyta; Magnoliopsida; Malpighiales; Euphorbiaceae.
UCUUCAUCUAGCAGAGGAGAGAGGGAUCCAACUUCAUGAGAACCUAGAAGUGGACGAGGAAACCAGAUUUUCCGCAGUUGUUAGAGAGAUUGAUGAUAGCGGCUAUGACAACUGUGAGGACAUCCUGUUGGAUUCACGUAAUGAUGAGACAUUUCAAGGUAUAUCUAGUGCUAUGGGGAAGUCAUUUACUGACAUGGGCAGAAGGAAAAUGAAUGAUGGUGCACAAGUUUCAUUAAGAUCUUCCUUCAUGGAUGAAGUGCAAUCUUCCAAGCUAAGUACCAGUAGGGAUGUCUACCAGACUUGUUACGAUGAUCAUGCGAAACAGUCAUCAGCUGAAGUUGUCCUUAAAGGUGGCUCUAUCUUAAACAGGGGUCGCAAAACUCUGUUUAGUGAGCAUGCUGGAGCAAGUUGGAAUAAGGAGGAUACAAGAAAUCAAAUGACGGAUGAAGUUGCUCAAACGUCAGUAUUGGAAGAUUCAAUGUCUUCUUCAAGAAUGAAAAUGGAGACCUCUGAUGGGGGUAGAUUGUCUCCAGACAUCUCUGCAUUGCAUGUUCAUCCAGCGGACCAGGAUAUGAUCACAAGUUCUUCUAGAGAGAAGUUUGAGGGUGCGGUGUCUUCCAAGAUUCAAGGGGCUCCACAAUCUGCUAAUUCUCGUGUACGACCUAGUAGUUCUGUUCUUUCCGGUUCUGAUGGAACAGGUGCUGCCUCAACGUCAGCUGACAAUGGAUUAUCACGAACCUCUUCUGUAAAUUCAUUUUCGUCAGAAAAAUCCACAUUGAAUCCACAUGCUAAGGAAUUUAAA